CGAGGCGGCGGGGACGCGACGCCGAGGCACAAAGAGGGCGGCGGUGGCCGGGAGCCAGGCGAGACGAAGGCACGUCGGACCUCAGAGCCUCGGUCUCCUCCUUCCUGCGGCUCAGGGACACCCUGCCGCGGGGGCAGGAGGGGCCCAGCACGUGUGCUGUGGUGCGGCCGCCUCCGGCUUCUGACCAGCCGCCGCCUGCUUGUGGCAGGUCCGUGCUUCGUAGGGAAGCCUUUUACUUCCUGCUCACCUGAAUAGUGAAUUCCUAUUUUCUGACGGGCUCUUAAAAGGGAACAGUCGUGUCUGUCCUAACUCGUCUCAAGAAAGACCUGCUCUAUCCAUUUCUUCCAAAUAUCUUCUCUAUGUCCAGGGUCACGCCUGGCCAAUAAAUUCCUUUCUUGCACUGUUCGCUAAGCCAUCAUUCCCUUUCCUUUGUCAUCUCAUGGAAUUAAAAAUAACAAGACAAACCAUCUAUUCUAGGACUGCUCUGACACAAAUGCCACAAGUGGUCACUCCUGUUUGCUGACGCGACCAAACCUGGUAUGUGCUAUUAGAAAGUUAAUAAAUAAUGAAAUAGAACAUUAGGGCUAAUUUGCACCUGGUUUCAUGGUUCCAUCAAAACUGUGUAGCUUGGAGAUAGUGAAGAUGAGAAAGAAGACCAAGAGCACGCGAGACCAACGGGUACCUGUUCUCAGCAGGUAAGAAUCAGUCUUCCACCACAUUGGAUUAAAGUGUUUUUCAGCCAAAAUUGUCAUGCAGUGAAGCAUGAGCUGUUUUAGCACACAUCACAAGGAAUCAUUAUGAACAAGUGAAACUCACUUCAUUCCACUCACCACAAUUUAGGGGCUUUUAUGCUUUUUGAAAAGCUCCUAAAUUGACCAAGAGACAAAGGAGAACUUACUGAUGAUAGAGAUUCAUAAAAUGUGAGAAAUUAUUUUCCUUUAAUAUAUAAUAUUUGUUCUCAGAAUAAGCUUAUGAAGUGCUUAGUAUGUUUCAUCUCAAGAAAC
Molecule: non-coding RNA, 1004 nt
Organism: Vicugna pacos (alpaca)
Lineage: Eukaryota; Metazoa; Chordata; Mammalia; Artiodactyla; Camelidae
Source: RefSeq, a predicted model, not a curated record